This 468-nucleotide ribosomal RNA is filed under the name uncultured bacterium. RNAcentral describes it as "partial 16S ribosomal RNA". It matches the Rfam family "Bacterial small subunit ribosomal RNA", at positions 28 to 507 of the family's 1533-position model. The record is from RNAcentral.
GACGAACGCUGGCGGCGUGCUUAACACAUGCAAGUCGAACGGAAAGGCCCUGCUUUUGUGGGGUGCUCGAGUGGCGAACGGGUGAGUAACACGUGAGUAACCUGCCCUUGACUUUGGGAUAACUUCAGGAAACUGGGGCUAAUACCGGAUAGGAGCUCCUGCUGCAUGGUGGGGGUUGGAAAGUUUCGGCGGUUGGGGAUGGACUCGCGGCUUAUCAGCUUGUUGGUGGGGUAGUGGCUUACCAAGGCUUUGACGGGUAGCCGGCCUGAGAGGGUGACCGGCGACAUUGGGACUGAGGUACGGCCCAGACUCCUACGGGAGGCAGCAGUGGGGAAUAUUGCACAGUGGGCGGAAGCCUGAUGCAGCAGCGCCGCGUGCGGGAUGACGGCCUUCGGGUUGUAAACCGCUUUCGCCUGUGACGAAGCGUGAGUGACGGUAAUGGGUAAAGAAGCACCGGCUAACUACGUG